AUUGAACGCUGGCGGCAGGCCUAACACAUGCAAGUCGAGCGGAUGAAGGGAGCUUGCUCCUGGAUUCAGCGGCGGACGGGUGAGUAAUGCCUAGGAAUCUGCCUGGUAGUGGGGGAUAACGUCCGGAAACGGGCGCUAAUACCGCAUACGUCCUGAGGGAGAAAGUGGGGGAUCUUCGGACCUCACGCUAUCAGAUGAGCCUAGGUCGGAUUAGCUAGUUGGUGGGGUAAAGGCCUACCAAGGCGACGAUCCGUAACUGGUCUGAGAGGAUGAUCAGUCACACGGGAACUGAGACACGUUCCAGACUCCUACGGGAGGCAGCAGUGGGGAAUAUUGGACAAAGGGCGAAAGCCUGAUCCAGCCAUGCCGCGUGUGUGAAGAAGGUCUUCGGAUUGUAAAGCACUUUAAGUUGGGAGGAAGGGCAGUAAGUUAAUACCUUGCUGUUUUGACGUUACCAACAGAAUAAGCACCGGCUAACUUCGUG
This 484-nucleotide ribosomal RNA is filed under the name uncultured bacterium. RNAcentral's name for it is "partial 16S ribosomal RNA". It matches the Rfam family "Bacterial small subunit ribosomal RNA", at positions 30 to 507 of the family's 1533-position model. The record is from RNAcentral.